CCUACGGGUGGCAGCAGUGAGGAAUAUUGGUCAAUGGUCGGGAGCCUGAACCAGCCAAGUCGCGUGAGGGAGGAAGGUACAGCGUAUUGUAAACCUCUUUUGUCAGGGAACAAAGUCGGGCACGUGUCCCCGGAUGAGUGUACCUGAAGAAAAAGCAUCGGCUAACUCCGUGCCAGCAGCCGCGGUAAUACGGAGGAUGCGAGCGUUAUCCGGAUUUAUUGGGUUUAAAGGGUGCGCAGGCGGUCUGUUAAGUCAGCGGUCAAAGCUCGGGGCGCAACCCCGGCCCGCCGUUGAAACUGGCAGUCUCGAGUGGGAGAGAAGUAUGCGGAAUGCGCGGUGUAGCGGUGAAAUGCAGAGAUAUCGCGCAGAACUCCGAUUGCGAAGGCAGCAUGCCGGCUCCACACUGACGCUGAGGCACGAAAGCGUGGGUAUCGAACAGGAUUAGAUACCCCAGUAGUC
This 459-nucleotide ribosomal RNA is filed under the name uncultured bacterium. Its description in RNAcentral is "partial 16S ribosomal RNA". It matches the Rfam family "Bacterial small subunit ribosomal RNA", at positions 338 to 795 of the family's 1533-position model. The record is from RNAcentral.